UUUUUUUUUUUUUUUUUUUAAAGCACCCCCUGGAAUAGAAGUCCUCAAACUUUUUGUUGUCAUAAGGAACUUUUGUGGUCCCUGGGAAGCUUGUUAAAAUGCAGGUUUCCAGGCUUACCAGGUAGGGUCUCAGGAAAUGAGUGGGGCCUGGAGCCUGGGGUCUGCAGGUAUGCCCAGCUGAUCCCACUGCCUGGAGAGGCUUGGUAUGAGCGCCUUUAUACCAGGCCCUCCUGCCCCUUCCCCAGGCCCAGGGCUUUGGCACAGAUGCCCCCAGAGCACACUUUGGCCAAGGUUGCCUGGAGUUAGCCUGAACGCUUGCAGAGGGAAGUAGGCACGGAGGCCACCCAGGGCUCGCUUGCUGCUGUGGAGUGAGUCAGUCCAAUCGUGGACAUGCGUGGAGAUCACACUCUGGGGCUGGCCUUGCAGUGGACUUUCCUCCUGCCUGGCCGCAUAUAUUUUGUGACGUGAGCACAAAGUCUAACCCUAAGAAAGAGUUAAUGUAAAGCACAGUCAUACAAACCCCAAGUUAGGGACAGCAGUCGGGGUUAGGGACAGUGGUCAGGGUUAUAGGCAGGGAGUAAAUCCUGAAUGGUGGAGUCCUGCAGACGCAGAGGGGACCUGAGGACGUAAUAAAUAACCUGUGAGUGCCUGAGAGCUCUGUGCGUCCUGCAGCCCCUAGACCAUUAAUCAGAAACCAGCAACUGAAGGCCUGGCUGGCCAAACAUUAAUCACAAAGCAAUUAACCCAGCACAGACACGGGGGCGGGAAGGGGGCUGGAGGAGGAGGAGGACAAAGCUGGCUGGGGUGCAGGAGAGUGUGAUUUGGAAGAGGAGAAGGCACAUAGAUCCUUUUAAACGUUGAGGUGUGGCCUCACCAAGGAACUUGAUUUUCUGUCGGUACCUUGGGUUUUGUUUUACGACAGGAAAAAGAAAAAUCAUGGGCUAUGAGAAUCCACGCCGGCCCCUUUGUUUGGAUCCAGGCUUCCUCUUUGCAUAACUGGUGUGGGAGAGCCCGCCUGUGUGUGCUGCGCAGGCUUGGUUGGUGGUGCUGUUCACUUGGAUAGCGGUUUACCUGUGUGAAAAUGUGCAGGGUCAGAAACCAGUAUGUUUACAUGAAGCUGGGUGAUGCUGGAAGCAUAACGUUUUGAUUAAAUUCAAGAUUGGUUUUUGCCAUGUUCACAUUCACAGAUAAUAUUAUGGCUUCAGAUUCUGUCACUGUGCAAACUUUGGAGGUUUUUGGGAGGCCCCGGAGUUGGGUCCUGGAGGAGGAGGUCUGCUCCUGGCACAGAAGCUGUGCGCUGGGUCGAGCCCGGCCUCCAUUCCCUCAUCCAUGCUGAUAGUGGGCACUUGCGUUUGGAAAAUCGGAGAAGUCUUUCUCUCAUCAGAACAGGAAAGCAUUGCAACCUGCCUCUGUCUUGUAAUGAUUUCUCAUAUUGUGGAAAUUACUGAAGUAAUUCCCCGAGGCCCAGGUUAUGGGACUCAGGGGAACUGCUCCUUUCCCACGUAAAAUUUGAAAUAGAAUUAAUCAUUUUCUUUUUUUUUUUUGAAACGGAGUCUGGCUCUGUUGCCCAGGCUGGACUGCAGUAGCCGGAUCUCAGCUCACUGCAAGCUCCGCCUCCCGGGUUCACGCCAUUCUCCUGCCUCAGCCUCCCGAGGAGCUGGGACUACAGGCGCCCGCCACCUUGCCUGGCUAGUUUUUUGUAUUUUUUAGUAGAGACGGGGGUUUCACUGUGUUAGCCAGGAUGGUCUCGAUCUCCUGACCUCGUGAUCC
Molecule: long non-coding RNA, 1770 nt
Organism: Macaca fascicularis (crab-eating macaque)
Lineage: Eukaryota; Metazoa; Chordata; Mammalia; Primates; Cercopithecidae
Source: Ensembl